This is a non-coding RNA of Durio zibethinus, 4713 nucleotides long. The record is from RefSeq and is a predicted model, not a curated record. NCBI's taxonomy places the organism in Eukaryota, Viridiplantae, Streptophyta, Magnoliopsida, Malvales, Malvaceae.
CUUGUUUUUCUUUAUCAGAAAAAUUUUUGUUCAAAAGUCAUCUUCUUUCCCAAAUACAUUAACUGUAUUUCCAUUUGUUUAAUUGUUGUGGCAUGAUAUAGCGGGGAAGGAAUUGAGAAGCAGCAUUGCCUAUAGUUCAGCAAUGGAGAUCUUGCCUUAAUAUUGGAAAAAGCAAUUCAGAAGGUAUUCUCGUAUGUACCUUUGAAAUAAUGGCAACGAGUAGGAUAUUUUUAACAAGUGCACUUAGUUGACGGAAAUAUACCAUAAAAAUGUAGUUAAUUUACUUAUUAUGCAUACUUUCCUUUCACUGAAUGAGAACAUUUUAAAACACAAUGCAUAGAUAGCGUUAAUUCCAUGUUUUAGUUAUCAGUUUAACUUGCUUCAUGAUUAAUUGUAGGCAUCAAUUACUCUUUUGCUUUGGCUUUGAAUUUGUAUAGAACCUGAGAUUGUAUACUAUUUCAUCGGAUUGAGAUUUGGCUAGACAAUCUUUGGAUGGAAUCAUUUUCCCAAACCUAGCUUGCUGAUAUACAUAUAUGAUAAAGUGAGUUAACUCCUUAUAAAUUUAAUAUAUAUCAACAUUUCCAUUUUCGUUUUUGAACUUGUACUUAUCACUGCUCAAUAUAAACAAUAUGACCUUUGACUGCUACAGGUUCUUUUUCAGUCUGUGUCACUAUCUAAUAUGUUACACAUUUCACAGUAGCAAUAGGUUUGUUUCUGUAGCACCACACCUGGAUUCAGACGCAUAGACCAGGAGGGCUGAGGUUUCAAUGAUCUCAUGUAAUACCUUUUGAUUUUUCUAGUAAUCACCAUGUUCAAAUUGUUUUUCCACAACAACAUACUUUUAUGCAUGAGUGAGGAUCUCAAUGGUUGCGAAAUAUGUUUGCUUGACCGACUCAUAUUUGUCUUUUAUGGAGUGACGCUAGCUUAAUUCCACGCGAAACACGAUGCUUAUGCGUAUGAUGCCGCUCCUUGAUGGUAAGCCUUGCUUUGCUUUUUCAAUUGUCUUUUCUUGCAGUUUGGUGGAGCUAUAAAUUACUCUUUGCCUGGAUUGAGCUUCGACAAUUAAACCAUAGUGAUGAAGCUUUUGACAGAAGAUGGCACCAGAGUGAUGAAGCUUAGAGUUGGAUAUAUAUCCAACUCUGGAUUUUAUAGAGCAGAAAUGUGAGAAGCCAAUGCAUCUGUUACCUAAGGAAGCCAUGCCGCCUCUGUAAUUUGCCGACAUUAAAUAUUUUAGGUUAUCCUCAAUUAAACCAUAGCUUUGGGGAAGGAACUGAGAGGCAGCAUUGCCUAUAGUUCAGCAAGGGAGAUCUUGCCUUAAUAUUGGAAAAAGCACUUCAGAAGGCAUCAGUUACUUUUUUGCUUUGGCUUUGAAUUUGUGAAGAACCUGAGAUUGUAUAGUAUUCAUCGGAUUGAGAUUUAGCCAGACAAUCCUUUGGAUGGAAUCAGUUUCCUAAACCUAGCUUGCUGAUAAGACAUAUUUGAUAAAGUGAGUUAACUCCUUAUAAAUUUAAUAUUAUAUCAAUAUUUUUGUUUUCAUUGUGAACUAUCAUUCUUAUCACUGCUCAAUAUAAACAAUUUGACCUUUGACAGCUCGAGGUUCUGUUUCAGUCUGCGUCACUAUCUAAUAUGUGAGACAUUUCACUGUAGUAAUAGGUUUGUUUCUGCAGCACAACGCCAGGACUCAGAAGCGUAGACCAGGAGGGCUGAGGUUUCAAUGAUCUCAUGUACUGCCUUUCGUUUUUCUGGAGUGUUGCUAGCUUAAUUCCACGCUAAACACGAUGCUUAUGCAUAUGAUGCCGUUCCAUGAUGGUAAGCCUUGCUUUGCUUUUUCCAUUAUUUUUUCUUUCAGUUUGGUGGAGCUAUAAAUUACUCUUUGCCUGGAUUGGGCUUUUGAACAACCUGAUAUUAUAUGAUAAAAAAUGUGAAGGAACAAUUCAUGUGGUUUUCUUUCAUGCUUGCUUAGACAAUGGUUUGAAUUUAUGUGUUUUUUGAACAAUUUAUUCCAGUGACUCACCAUUUUGAUAUGCUUUCUAGAGGAGCUGAAUUAUGAAACUGAUUUAUUUGUGUUUUUGGAACUAUUUCAGCAUUAUGAAUUGGCAUGGAGUGACAUCUUUUCAAAACAAUGUGAUUCACCUGGGAAACGCAAGUCCUGGUGUGUUCUUAGAGGAGCCAGAUUCCACCAUCAAAUCAGGGGAUAUCCCAUACCUUGAUCUGAAAAAACACAAAGUCCAGCAUCAGUUCGUUCCAGCAUCAGUUGUUUUUCUCUAUCAGAAAACUUUUUGUUCAAUGGUCAUCCUUUUUUCCCAAAUAUGUUAAUUGUAUUUGUCUUUGUUUAAUUGUUGUGGCAUAAUAUUGGGGAACUGAGAAGCACCACUGUCUAUAGUUCAACUAUUGAGAUCUUUUCUUAAUAUAGGCAAAAGCACUUCAGAGGUUAUUCUCUUAUGUACCUUAGAAAUUAUAGCAACAUCUAGGGUAUUUUUGACAAGUUUCCUUAGUUGAGGGAAAUAUAUAUAGCCUAAGAAAUGUAGAUUAAUUUAUUAUGCGAUUUUCCUUUAAGUGAAUGAGAACAUUUUAAAAUUUUUGCUUAUAGCACAUUGAUUUUGGCUAUAAACAAAUAAUCUAAUUAAUGGCAUAGAAGCUGGUGUCCUUUGACAAUUAAAAUCAGAAUGCAUAAGACCUUUGUCCUUUCUUUUCUGUGUGAUUGUUGCCUUAAGUUAGGUAAGCUUGAUUGUGGCAUUAUGCUGAUGAUCCUUCCAAACUCAUUCAGACGGUGAAGGAUAUGAAGGAAACACAACAGAUUACAAGACUGUCAUUUAUUUUCUAUACUAAGGAGGCCACCCUUGUUUUACUUUGUCAGUAAGUAGAAAAGUUCGGGAGAAGAGAUUGUAAGCAUUUCAUGAUUUAGCAGCUACAGGGUUUAAAACCAUUCAAAUGGAGGCACUGUUUUCUAGCAGGGAAAUGCAGCAAUGUGAGUGGUUGAAGGCAUCAUUUACCUUUUUGCUUUGGCUUUGAAUUUGUAAAAGAACCUGAGAUUGUAUGGUAUUCAUUGAAUGGAGAUUUAGCUAGACAAUCCUUUGGAUGGAAUCAUUUUCUCAAACCUAGCUUGCUGAUAUGCAUAUAUGAUAAAGUGAGUUAACUCCUUAUAAAUAAAAUAUAUAUCAACAUUUUGUUUCUUUUUGGACUAUUGUACUUGUCACUACUCGAUAUAAACAAUAUGACAGUUGACAGCUCAAGGUUGUGUUUCAGUUGUUUCACUAUCUAAUAUGUGAGGUAUUUAACAGUAGCAAUAGGUUUGUUUCUGCAACACCACACCAGGAUUCAGAAUCUUAGACCAGGAGGGCUGAGGAUUUCAAUGAUCUUAUGUAUUACCUUUUAUUAUUCUGGUAAUCUCCAUGUUCGAAAUUGUUUUUCCACAACAAUAUUCUAUUAUACAUGAGUGAGGAUCUCAAUGGUUGAGAAAUAUGUUUGCUUGAUUGACUCAUAUUUGUCUGUUGUGAAGAAGUGAUACCACCUCAAUUACAUGCUAAACAAGAUGCUUGUGCAUGACAUUUGUUGGACCAAAGGCUUAACCUGUGUCUUGAACAGAUCCUUCACUUUACGUGUAGAAAGUGGAAACUGUUCUAUGACUCAACAGAGAUAUGUAUGAUUCAUGGAUUGAUUUCUGCAUGUUGGAACCCAGCUUCUGACUAUAAAAUGAUUGCACUAAAAUGGUAUUGAACCUCGAGUUUUGUGGUUUCUUUAUUGUAAGUUUCUCUUGAAACUUCUUUUGUUUUGAUCAUCUUUCAACCUUACCUCAUGCAGACACUGGGAACUCAUGCUACUCCUUGAUGGUAAGCCUUGCUUUGGUCUUUCCAUUGUCUUUUCCUUCAGUUUGGUGGAGCUAUAAUUGUUCUUUGCCUGGAUUAAACUUUUAAAGUAGCUGUGAUUGUGUGAUAAACAAUGUGAAACAACACUCAAUGUAGUUUCAAUCCAUGCUUGCUUUGACAAUUGUUUCGAUUUAUGUGUUUUCUGAACUAUUUGUUCCAGUGACUAACCAUUUUGAUAUGCUUCCUGUAUAUUUAAGCAUUAUGAAUCAAGACAUCUAUGCUGAAACAAAGUGAUUCACCUGGGAAUCUCAAGCAUUGGUGUGUUUUUAGAGGAGCUGAAUUCUAUCAUCAAAUCAGGGGAUGUCGCAUAUCUCGAUUUGAAAAACACAAAGUCAAGCAUCAGUUCGUUGCAGAGAAACUAAAUGCUAUCCCCAAAUCAGGGAAUGUCCGGUAUCCCCAUCCAGCUGCUCCAAACCUCAAAGUUCUCGACUCCUUCAAGUCUGUGCCUCUAACAGACUGUAGCGGUUGAAAUCUUCAUCUUCAAGGGCCCUGUCUUAGAAGUUGCAAUCAAGUCUACCAAAUCUAGCCCACCCACAGUUGGAGCAGCCAAGCAUCUCACCGACAAUAUUGAUUUGGUGUCCAUGGAAAGGAAAUUUGCAACCAGGAAAAGUGAACAACAGCCGGAACAGCUUCUUUGCUGCUGCUGAUAAGAACGUACAAAUCUCCACAGCUUGAGAGCUCCAACUUUUUGGUGCCUCCUGAAUAGAUCCAAAUCAAAUUGAUUUUCUCUUUCUAUUCAGAGUUUGUGUGUACGAUCCCGCUUAGUAAUCUAAAUGUCAUAAUUAUUUUUAAUUUUUGCUUUUUUUUUUCCGAUGGACUUUUUGAAGUUAAAGAAAUCAUUCUUUGA